This 410-nucleotide ribosomal RNA is filed under the name uncultured bacterium. Its description in RNAcentral is "bacterial SSU rRNA". It matches the Rfam family "Bacterial small subunit ribosomal RNA", at positions 370 to 772 of the family's 1533-position model. The record is from RNAcentral.
AAUGGGGGCAACCCUGAUCCAGCCAUGCCGCGUGUGUGAAGAAGGCCUUCGGGUUGUAAAGCACUUUAAGCGAGGAGGAAGGUUUACUAGCUAAUACCUAGUAGAAUUGACGUUACUCGCAGAAUAAGCACCGGCUAACUCUGUGCCAGCAGCCGCGGUAAUACAGAGGGUGCAAGCGUUAAUCGGAAUUACUGGGCGUAAAGCGCGCGUAGGCGGUAUGUUAAGUCGGAUGUGAAAUCCCUGGGCUCAACCUAGGCACUGCAUCCGAUACUGGCACACUAGAGUGUGGGAGAGGAAGGUAGAAUUCCAGGUGUAGCGGUGAAAUGCGUAGAGAUCUGGAGGAAUACCGAUGGCGAAGGCAGCCUUCUGGCCUAACACUGACGCUGAGGUGCGAAAGCAUGGGGAGCAAA